This 490-nucleotide unclassified non-coding RNA is filed under the name Hevea brasiliensis (rubber tree). Lineage: Eukaryota; Viridiplantae; Streptophyta; Magnoliopsida; Malpighiales; Euphorbiaceae. The record is from RNAcentral.
AUUGGAAACCUUGCCUACUUGGAAGAUCUGGAGUUCUACUCUUGCAAUUUCACCGGGCAGCUCCCUUCCUCCCUCGGUAACCUUACCAAGCUCACCAGUCUCGAUCCCUCAGAUAAUAAUUUUGGGGCUCCAACUCCUUCUUCCUUGUCUUGGAUCGGUAAACUGUCAGAUCUCAAUUACCUCGCUCUCUUUCACGUUGAAUUAAGUGGUUUCUUCCCAUCUUGGCUUAAGAACCUAACUCGACUUUCAUAUCUAGAAUUGAGCUAUAAUCAACUUGCUGGUCCAAUCCCUUCUUGGCUUAUGAACCUAACCAUGCUUGUUAAUUUAUAUUUAGACAGUAAUCAUUUCAAUGGUCAAAUCCCAUCAUGCCUCAUUUACGGAUCAAGUAUUGAAUACUUAAUUUUGAGUUUUAAUCAAUUAUCAGGUCAAAUCCCAUCUCAAACUGACGCUCAUUCUAAAGUAGUCAAGUUAGAACUUUCAUCAAACAAAU